Molecule: small nuclear RNA, 111 nt
Organism: Suncus etruscus (white-toothed pygmy shrew)
Lineage: Eukaryota; Metazoa; Chordata; Mammalia; Eulipotyphla; Soricidae
Source: RefSeq, a predicted model, not a curated record
GUGCUCACUUCGGCAGCACAUAUACAUACUAAAGUUGGAAUGAUACAGAGAAGAUUAGCAUGGCCCCUUUGCAAAGAUGGCAACCAAAUUCGUGAAGCAUUCCAUAUUAAA